RNAcentral lists this long non-coding RNA (2608 nucleotides) under Panax ginseng (ginseng). RNAcentral's name for it is "long non-coding RNA (PGIN_LNC006991)". Lineage: Eukaryota; Viridiplantae; Streptophyta; Magnoliopsida; Apiales; Araliaceae. The record is from RNAcentral.
ACGGAUUCAAUUGACCGCUAUUGGUUGAGCUGUCCCUUCUCCUCACCCUAUCUAUGGUAGUGGGAACAUGUUUUCAAAUUUCAACCGUAGGGUGGGGGAUAAAAUGAGUUACAAUACAGUUAGGAGGAGGAGGAGGAGUUGAGGCGCUGGCCAUUUAAUUGAUAAUUAAUGCAUCUUAAUAUAUUAAGCCAUCAUUUCAUAUGAAUAUAUUGACUAUUUCCCUCUAUCUCGUCUGUAAUAAAUUUUCAUAAUUUUCUCCUAAAAAAACUCAUUACUCUUAUUUACUAUUCUUUUUAUUACACAUCCACCACCAAAUCGAACACAGAGAUCAGAAGACGGCCAAAACUGGAACAAAAAAAUAUCGAAAUCCACCACCAAAUCGAACACAAAAGACAUGGAUCCACUGGAGCAGGCCAUAAGACCAAAAUUCCAAAUUCAACCACCGGAAAAUCCGAGAAGAUAGAUGCACAAGCGACAAACAACCUAAAAGAUUCAAACAAAAAAGGAUAAACAAUAAAGAGAAGGAAUCGAAAUGGAGAAAUCAAUACUUCAAGCCCCAAGAUUUCAAGCAAGAAAUCAGAGGAAACAACUGAACCAACAUAAGAAAAACAACCGAACAAAUGUGGGUUAUCCAAAUCAGAUGAAAUAAGAACUAUCCAAAUCAAACAGGUUGGAACGUCGAAGUCUAGUCCAACCAAGAACUAAACUAGCUAUAAAACAAACCAAAUGAAAAUAAAACACCAAAAAUCUAAUAAUAGAAAGAUAACUAAUUUGCACACAAUUUAUCAGAUCUGGAAUAUAUCCAUCAGUCAAACCAUCACCAGGACAAAUCUAAAUUCUCGGACAAGAACCCAAACCUAAUCCCUAGCUCAGACCAUAACCCCCAAAAUCCAGGCCAAGAACGCCAUACAAUCUAUAAACCCUCGGACUUGGCAUAUAAUAGAUCGGAGAGGACAUUUUCGGAGUUGCCCAUUGUAGUCAUCGAUAAGACUAAAUAGAACCAAGCAGAUUGGAAGAGGCUGGACAAGGAAGAAAGAAUUUUCCUACAUGAUUCUGCCUUUUGCUAAGCCUAUCUUCUUCUGCAACUUAUUUCAAGAACAGAAUACGCUCAUAUAAAAUUUCCUUAAAUGAAUAAGAAUAUAAAGACUUGUCUCAUUUUCUAUAUUGUCUUCUCUAAGUGGUGCAAGAUCUGGAUGAUUUCUGAAAAGUCUAGUCUCAAAGAAGGGUCUUGCUGCCAACAUCUCUCGAGCAAUUCCACAAUUUUUGAAUAUGUGCCCCUUGGUAUUGUAGGCCUUAGACUGUAUAAUUCACAACCACGUAAAAAUUAAUAAUAUUUAUUUUAACUCAAAUUAUUAAUUUGGAUACAUGUAAAAACAGAGUUGCAUAUACUGAAUAUAUUUAUAAUUUGGAUACAUGUAAAAAAUAGGAUUUAAGGUUUAGGUUUAAGGUUUAGUGUUUAGGGGAGUCGAAAGAAAAAAAUUGGACCAAAUUUUUACAAAAUUGUGUAAUUUGAAUACAUGUAAAAAACAUGAUUUAGGGUUUAGGAUUUAGAGUCUAAUAUUUUAGGGUUUUAGGAUUUAGGGUUUAGAAUUUAAGAUUUAGAAAGUUUUUUUUUAAAAAGAAAGGGGCCCCGGUCGCCCACGGACUCAAAAAGUAUUAGUCUUUUCUAUACAUGGAAAUCAAAUGCCAAAAGAGAUAGUUUCACUAGCUAGUUUGCAUCAGAUUAAACUGUAGUGUGUAUAUAUUUGAUGAGUAGAGAUAUAUUCAGCUUGCUAUACAAGUAGAACGCACAUAAAGGAGGAGGUGGGGAAGCGGUCUAGUAGAGUAUUUACAAUGAUAAGAACUUCAGUUCUGAUUCACAGAAGCAGUGAAUGCAUGCGAGGCAGAAAUCUUCAUGGGGAUGGGAAGGGGAGGAAUGGAUCCAAUUCCGAACUCUCAGACUCGAGGGUAGAGAUAUUCUUUAGGAGGCGAAACUGCAAGAUCAUCAAAAUAAAUUCCAGCACUAGUUCUAGCAAAGUAGUAGUAGCAGCAUGAUAGCUGGGAAGGGAUCAACUGCUGCACAUCACGAUGACGUUUUCACACUGGGUGUACAACCAGGCUUUGAUCCCGACCCCCGAGCUCAUAAUGGCCUAUGUAAUUAUCCUGGAUCUAUCGCAUCAGUGGCAGUAAGCCAUUUACCCCUGUUCUAUGUUCUUUAACCCAGGUCAUAAUUUAUCAAAUGGCCUUGAAUUUUUCGCACUCCCGUCCAUUAUAUACUUAGACUACGUUACAUUGAACAAUGUAUAGAUUUUGCAAGUAGGCCGGAUACAACACUCUUAACGGACUAGCAUGCAUUUUUGGUUCACGGUAUUUUGGAUUAACAAAUUUAGGAUUUGUUUACCUUCUUGAGCUUGCAGCUAUGCCAAUGCACCUUAUCUCGACACAACUGUCUUUGAGAAAUCAUUUUCAUUCUCUCAUACUAUCUGCCACGAGUCAACUUAUCCGUAACGGUAUAUAACACACGAGGUACUAUGGCUGGUUCCCAUGCUCUAAUAGCCUCUAAAUGCAGUACAGCAAACCUAGAAUGACUUUAAGAUUCUUGGAGUUUUUUAAGAACAUGUUGAANNNN